GAUGAAGAACGUAGCGAAAUGCGAUAAGUAGUGUGAAUUGCAGAAUUCAGUGAAUCAUCGAAUCUUUGAACGCGCAUUGCGCCCCUUGGUAUCCCGAGGGGCAUGCCUGUUCGAGCGUCAUUUCACCACUCAAGCCUGGCUUGGUGUUGGGCGACGUCCUCUUUGGGGACGCGCCUCGAAACGCUCGGCGGCGUGGCACCGGCUUUAAGCGUAGCAGAAUCUUUCGCUUUGGAAGUCGGGGCCCCGCCUGCCGGAAUACCUACUUGUAAGGUUGACCUCGGAUCAGGCAGGGAUACCCGCUGAACUUAAGCAUAUCAAUAAGCGGAGGA
Molecule: unclassified non-coding RNA, 329 nt
Filed under: soil metagenome
Description: partial contains 5.8S ribosomal RNA, internal transcribed spacer 2, and large subunit ribosomal RNA
Rfam family: 5.8S ribosomal RNA (bases 1-120)
Source: RNAcentral